Ailuropoda melanoleuca (giant panda) is the source of this 399-nucleotide long non-coding RNA. RefSeq lists it as uncharacterized. Lineage: Eukaryota; Metazoa; Chordata; Mammalia; Carnivora; Ursidae. The transcript has 4 exons. The record is from RefSeq and is a predicted model, not a curated record.
CAGACUUCCUCCGGCUGCCUGCUCUGUGCGCUCAGGUGUUCCUCUUGUCACUCCCUGUGCUUGGCCGAUAAAGAUGGAUCCAGGUCCAAAGGGGCACUGCCAUGGUGGUGGCCCUGGCCCAGGGCACCCCCCAGGAACCUGUGGGCACCCUCCUGGCCAUGGCCCAGAGCACGGUCCUGGGGGGAAACAUCCCCCAGGACCCUGUGGGAACCCCCCUGGCCAUGGCCCAGAGCACUUUCCUGGGGAGAAACACCCCCCAGGGCACCCUGGGCCCCCACCUGGUCCACAUCACUAAGGAAGCAGAAGAAAGAGGACACGAGAAUGGGAAGCCUGCGUUGGGUUGCCUUGCUGACCUGGCGUGGAGGCCGAAGCAGAAUCUUCUCUUCCUAAUAAACAGCC